GAUGAACGCUGGCGGCGUGCUUAACACAUGCGAGUCGAACGAACCUUCGGGUUAGUGGCGGACGGGUGAGUAACGCGUGAGAAUCUGCCCUCAGGAGGGGGAUAACAGCUGGAAACGGCUGCUAAUACCCCAUAUGCCGCGAGGUGAAAUGAAUUUCGCCUGAGGAUGAACUCGCGUCUGAUUAGCUAGUUGGUGUAGGUAAUGGCUCACCAAGGCAUCGAUCAGUAGCUGGUCUGAGAGGAUGAUCAGCCACACUGGGACUGAGACACGGCCCAGACUCCUACGGGAGGCAGCAGUGGGGAAUUUUCCGCAAUGGGCGAAAGCCUGACGGAGCAACGCCGCGUGAGGGAUGAAGGCCUCUGGCUGUAAACCUCUUUUAUCAAGGAAGAAGAUCUGACGGUACUUGAUGAAUAAGCCACGGCUAAUUCCGUGCC
Molecule: ribosomal RNA, 434 nt
Filed under: uncultured cyanobacterium
Lineage: Bacteria; Bacillati; Cyanobacteriota
Description: bacterial SSU rRNA
Rfam family: Bacterial small subunit ribosomal RNA
Source: RNAcentral